Molecule: non-coding RNA, 821 nt
Organism: Pelodiscus sinensis (Chinese soft-shelled turtle)
Lineage: Eukaryota; Metazoa; Chordata; Testudines; Trionychidae
Source: RefSeq, a predicted model, not a curated record
GUGAUGUGGUUACAGGAGUCAGGGCCAGGCUGCCUCAGACCCCUUGGGGUGGGGUCCACAGGCCCCUGACCCCUCAGAACUCAGCUUAGCCACUUCUCUUCGUGUUUUCCCAGCCAAGACUUCCCUUCUCCAAGCCACCCCCUCCCUUUGUUCAGCCCCUUUCCUCCUCAGGUGAGAACCGGUCGGGGGGGCCAUGGACUACCUGACAUGAGGGCCCUCAGGGCGACCCCCGCUGGGCCGUGCUUACAGACAGAGGCCAGUAGGGGUCACCCACAGCCCACACAGCAACCAACGAAUGCCCACUGGGGCCACUAGAGUAAACAGCCCCCCAGCUCCGUGUCAGAAGCCUCCCGUGAUGCUCUGUCCUCCUUCGCCCCGCAGAUUUCUGCCAGCUGAUGAAGUGAUUUAGGAGCAUCACCCACGCCCAGCUCCUGCCGGAGACGUCACCGAAGCAUCAGAAACCAAGGUCUGCUGGCCAUGGGCAACCUGAUAAAGGUAUUGGGCAAAGAUUUAGAAAACUGUCCUCAUUUUUUCCUGGAUUUUGAAAGUGUCACAUGGGGAACCUUCUUAAAGUGUUGACUUAUAACGAGCUUGAACAAGGCCCUAAUUUUUUCCUUGACUUUGAACGUGAGAUGGGAUUUUGAUUUUCUUUUCCCCCUCCCCUCCUCCCCAUUCAUGUCAUUUUACGUUGGCAUCUCAGCGAGGCCCCCACGGCAUCAGACCCAUCCCCGUAUCCAUCGUACUCCCCCUCCACUCGCCCACCCGGAGGCCAGGCCCUGCGCAGGAAGCCGCCAGGUGUCGGGGGGGGGGGGGAAACAGGG